Non-coding RNA from Drosophila melanogaster (fruit fly), 522 nucleotides. The record is from Ensembl. Lineage: Eukaryota; Metazoa; Arthropoda; Insecta; Diptera; Drosophilidae.
GUUGCUGCGUUGUCUUCUCUCUUUUCUCUCGGUGUGUGGUUGUUGUUGCUCUGCCCUGUGUUGUGUUCUCCAAAUUUUACUCCGAAUCUAUCAAUCGAAUUAGGUAUCACGCACUCCUAUUUUCAAAUCAUAACGCCGACUGCUUCCAAUAAAUAAACACUGUAUUUAUUUGUGUUUUUGUAAUUUAAAACGCAAAAGUACAACCCAACACACACGGAUGUUCGAGUUACAGCCAGUGUGACCGCGCCAGAGUGAGAACAAUAUGCAGAAUAGGUUUUAAAUAUACCAAGAAAAUACCAUUGAACACUUUCGUAUGUGAUGUGCGCACUUGGGGUAUUCCUAAAACUGAAGCGAUCCAAAGGCGGAAAUGACAGUGCCCUUGGUGCCCGUAACCGUGGUGGUUAGAGCCGGAAGAGUGGUCUUAACAACGGUUGACGAAGGUGCCGGUUGAUCCCACUUGGAUUUGCUGCAGGACGAAGUCGAAUUAACAAAUGAAUUCAAUAAAUACAGUAGAUUAAAUGC